AUUGAACGCUGGCGGCAGGCUUAACACAUGCAAGUCGAGCGGGGUGAUGGUGCUUGCACUAUCACUUAGCGGCGGACGGGUGAGUAAUGCUUAGGAAUCUGCCUAUUAGUGGGGGACAACAUCUCGGAAGGGAUGCUAAUACCGCAUACGUCCUACGGGAGAAAGCAGGGGAUCACUUGUGACCUUGCGCUAAUAGAUGAGCCUAAGUCGGAUUAGCUAGUUGGUGGGGUAAAGGCCUACCAAGGCGACGAUCUGUAGCGGGUCUGAGAGGAUGAUCCGCCACACUGGGACUGAGACACGGCCCAGACUCCUACGGAAGGCAGCAGUGGGGAAUAUUGGACAAUGGGGGGAACCCUGAUCCAGCCAUGCCGCGUGUGUGAAGAAGGCCUUAUGGUUGUAAAGCACUUUAAGCGAGGAGGAGGCUCUUUUGGUUAAUACCCAAGAUGAGUGGACGUUACUCGCAGAAUAAGCACCGGCUAACUCUGUGCCAGCCGCCGCGGUAA
RNAcentral lists this ribosomal RNA (503 nucleotides) under uncultured bacterium. RNAcentral describes it as "partial 16S ribosomal RNA". It matches the Rfam family "Bacterial small subunit ribosomal RNA", at positions 30 to 523 of the family's 1533-position model. The record is from RNAcentral.